ACACCAUCCAGAGCGGCCGAGAGUCCUGGCUCGACGACGCCGCAGCAACCCCCCGAGCCCGGGCGAGGGUGCUAAAGCCAGGCCGAUGGAGU
Molecule: non-coding RNA, 92 nt
Filed under: Kineococcus radiotolerans
Lineage: Bacteria; Bacillati; Actinomycetota; Actinomycetes; Kineosporiales; Kineosporiaceae
Also listed under: 1 other name
Description: SAM-I sequence
Rfam family: SAM riboswitch aptamer (S box leader)
About the family: The SAM riboswitch is found upstream of a number of genes which code for proteins involved in methionine or cysteine biosynthesis in Gram-positive bacteria.
Source: RNAcentral